GGGCCGUUAGCUCAGGUGGUAGAGCAGCAGACUUUUAAUCUGCGGGUCGAUGGUUCGAGUCCAUCACGGCUCACCA
This 76-nucleotide transfer RNA is filed under the name Magnetococcales bacterium. Its description in RNAcentral is "tRNA-Lys". It matches the Rfam family "tRNA". Rfam says of the family: Transfer RNA (tRNA) molecules are approximately 80 nucleotides in length. Their secondary structure includes four short double-helical elements and three loops (D, anti-codon, and T loops). Further hydrogen bonds mediate the characteristic L-shaped molecular structure. tRNAs have two regions of fundamental functional importance: the anti-codon, which is responsible for specific mRNA codon recognition, and the 3' end, to which the tRNAs corresponding amino acid is attached (by aminoacyl-tRNA synthetases). tRNAs cope with the degeneracy of the genetic code in two manners: having more than one tRNA (with a specific anti-codon) for a particular amino acid; and 'wobble' base-pairing, i.e. permitting non-standard base-pairing at the 3rd anti-codon position. The record is from RNAcentral. Lineage: Bacteria; Pseudomonadati; Pseudomonadota; Magnetococcia; Magnetococcales.